Molecule: small RNA, 109 nt
Filed under: Necator americanus (New World hookworm)
Lineage: Eukaryota; Metazoa; Nematoda; Chromadorea; Rhabditida; Ancylostomatidae
Description: SL2 RNA
Rfam family: SL2 RNA
About the family: This family represents SL2 RNA. SL2 RNA is involved in trans splicing in lower eukaryotes. Trans-splicing is a form of RNA processing.
Source: Rfam by way of RNAcentral
GGUUUAAACCCCAGUAUCUCAAGGUACUAAGGGAGUCCGACCUACCUCUAAGGUUGUGUCGAAACCUCAAUUUUUGGAGCGCCUUCCCGGGGUCAUCCGGGAGGGCAAA